RNAcentral lists this ribosomal RNA (252 nucleotides) under uncultured bacterium. RNAcentral's name for it is "partial 16S ribosomal RNA". It matches the Rfam family "Bacterial small subunit ribosomal RNA", at positions 524 to 776 of the family's 1533-position model. The record is from RNAcentral.
UACGUAGGUGGCGAGCGUUAUCCGGAUUUAUUGGGUUUAAAGGGUGCGCAGGCGGAGGCACAAGUCAGCGGUAAAAUCGCGGGGCUCAACCCCGCUCCGCCGUUGAAACUGUGUCCCUUGAGUGCGCGAAGGGUAGGCGGAAUGCGUGGUGUAGCGGUGAAAUGCAUAGAUAUCACGCAGAACUCCGAUUGCGAAGGCAGCGCACCGGCGCCCUACUGACGCUCAGGCACGAAAGCGUGGGUAUCGAACAGG